GGGCGGUUAGCUCAGUCGGUUAGAGCGCCUGCUUCACACGCAGGAGGUCAGAAGUUCGAGUCUUCUAUCGCCCA
RNAcentral lists this transfer RNA (74 nucleotides) under SAR202 cluster bacterium. RNAcentral describes it as "tRNA-Val". It matches the Rfam family "tRNA". From Rfam's summary of the family: Transfer RNA (tRNA) molecules are approximately 80 nucleotides in length. Their secondary structure includes four short double-helical elements and three loops (D, anti-codon, and T loops). The record is from RNAcentral. Lineage: Bacteria; Bacillati; Chloroflexota; Dehalococcoidia.